This is a non-coding RNA of Taeniopygia guttata (zebra finch), 3725 nucleotides long. The record is from RefSeq and is a predicted model, not a curated record. NCBI's taxonomy places the organism in Eukaryota, Metazoa, Chordata, Aves, Passeriformes, Estrildidae.
AAAAAGCCUCAGUGUCCAGGAGAUCUUUUUCAGCUAUUUUCAUGUUAUUCUUUUCUAGAUUUAGAGGAUCACCUCAAAGGAUGACAUUGAAAAUACAGUUGCAAGUAAUUCAGUAACAGCUGGGUUUGGUUCAUCCUCUACAAGUAACUUGAAGUGAAGAAGGAAAACAACUGAAUGAUCUACAACAGCAGUCAAGUGCCAGCAGCAUGCAUCUUGUAUUCUAAUCCCAGCAAGGGGCAACAGAGAACUAGAAGCAGAAGUUAAUUUACCAUAUCCAAACAUCCUUCUGUGACAUGAGAAAAAACACAAUUUUUUUACACAUCCUGAAGCUAUUUUUAAAAAGAUCUAAAAGCAAUAUUUUUGAAGCAUAUUGUUGAUGAAUGGGACACUUUAAUGCAUGCUGAGGGAAGGCUUUGAAGCGCUGUUGUAUGGCUUGGAAUGCAGGAUUUGGAGAGUUUGCCCCAGUUGUUUGGAAAAACUGAGUCCAGAGUUUCUAACACUCUUAAAAAGGCUUAAAGAAAUGCAAAAUCCUGUUUUCAAAUUUCCUUUUUUGGUUUUGUAUAAAUGGGUCUUUUCAGAAGGUGUCAUGCUUGUAACCUCCUUAUUCUGGGUGAAGACCUAUUCCAUCAGCCUACUGAAUUCUGAAUAUUAAGACCCUGAGCUCUAUUCCAGAUGCCGUGUGCAACAGGAAUGUUUUUUUAAAUCAUAUAUAUACAUUGAACUACAAAAAAGCUUUGGCAGAAGGGACUUAAAGAUCAUCUAGCUUCAACCUCCAUACCAUGGUCAGGGACAUCUUCCACUAGGCCAGGUUUCUCAAUACCCCACCCAACCUGGCCUUGAACACUUCUAAGGAUGGGAAAACCACCAUGCCCCACAUGAUUCAUACAGAUACAUUACAGUUCAUAAGUCCCACUACUUCAGUGGAAGUAGUCAUGCACAUACAUAUCCUAAAAUGCUGCACAGAGUGACUUCCAUGGGUAACAGAUUAAAGGACUAUGGUUUGAAGACAAAUAGAUGGGUAGAACAUUUUUUUCCUUCCUCAUAGCAAUAGGAUGUUCUUAAUUACAAGGAACUGAUUAUGAACAAAAUGCUGACAAAAACAUGGCUUCACCAAGGACAAAUCCUGCAUGAGCUACCUAGGAUUUCAAUGAUGGAGUGAUUAUAUCAGUGGAUAAAGGAAGAAUUACAGAUGUCAUCUAUCUGGACUUUGAUGUGGUCCCCACAACAUCCUUCCCUUUUAAAUUGAAGAGAGAUGGAUUUGUAAAUUGAACUAUUUGUUGGAUUGGGAGCUGGUUAGAUGGUCAUCAGCCAGUAGUGGUCAAUGUCUGAAUGUCCAGAUGGAUACCAGUGACAAGAGACAUCCCUCAGGGGUCUUUAUUUGGAAAAAUACAGUUUAAUAUCUUCAUCAGUGACACAGACGGUGGGAUCACGUACACCAUCAGCAAGUCUGCAGAUGACACCAAGCUGAGUGCUGCAGACAACACACCUGAAAGAUGGAACACCAUCCAGAGGAAUCUGGACAAGCUUGAGAAGAGGGCUCCUGGGAAACUCAUGAGGUUUAACAAGGCCAAUUGCAAGGUGAUGUACCUGGAUCACGGCAAUCUUUGGUAUAAAGGGUGCAGGAUGAAGGGAUUGCAAGGAGACCUGUGGAGAAGGACUUGGGGAUACUGGUGGAGGAAAAGCUGGGCAUGAGUCAGCAAUGUGCACUCACAGCCCAGAAAGCCUGUCAUGUCCUGGGCUGCAUCAAAAUAAGGAUGGUCUGCAGGUGAAAGGAGAUGAUUCUUUACUCUGCCCUUGUGCCCACUUGGAUCACUGUGUCCAGCUUGGGGGUCCUCAGCACAGGAAGGGCAUAGACUUGAUGGAGUGGGACCAGAGGAGGGCCAUGAAGAUGAUCAGAGGGAUGAAACACCUUUCCUGUAAGAGAGUUGGGACUGUUCAGCCUGGAGAAGGGAAAACUCUAGGGAAAUUUUAUUGAGGGUGUUAAAUAUUUAAAGGGUACAAAAAAAACCCCAAAAAUAAAACCAAAAAAAAACCCCAAAAAACCAAAAAAAAACAAAUGGGGACAAACAGUUUAGUAGAACCUGUUCACACAGGAUAAGGGGUAAUGGAUUUAAUAUAAAAGAGGGUCUAUUUAAACUGGAAAAAGAAGAAUUUUUUUACAAUGAGGGUGGUGAACCACUGAAAGAGAUUGCCCAGACAGGUGGUAGAUGCCCAGUCAGUAGAAACGUUCAAGGUCAGUUUGGCCAGCCCCGUCCAGCCCAAAGUAUUCGAUGAAUCUAUGAUUCAAAGACUUCUGGGCAGACUAAUGAAUCCUGUUUAAUACUGACCUUGAGGUGUUACAAGUAAAUGUAAGGCGCUUUAGAGAUUUAAGUACAUUUUGCUGCCUCAUAAUGUAAUUGAUCUUGUUCAAACCUCCAGAAAGGUUUGAAAAAUAUGGCAAUAUUUUUCACAUUGCAGCAGCUGCAGUGGUGUGAAACAUUAAUCAGUUCUACAUGAUUUUUAAUUAACGGUCUUCAGUGUCUAUGAGUGUACAGUGGGAGUAGUUUUCAUUUGUGCACUACUACUGUAUUUGCCUUCCUUUAAGAAAACAUGAACAGUCUAAGUCCAUAACACUGCUAAACAUGGGCUCUUAAAUAUUAAAGCAAAACUACAGUAAACUCUGUGGAUCUGCAAAACCCUCAGUCAGGGUAGUGGCAUUUGGAAAUCAUGUCUGAAUGUUGAUUCAUUAGGCAUCUCAUUUCAGAAAAGUUAGUAAUUUAAGGAGCACAUGAUGUCUCCACAUACCUCCCAAAAAGUAGAAUUGGGAUAGUAGAGAUGUCUUCAUCAAGAAGAAAAGAGCUGUUAAAACAGCAGUCCUCUGCUUAACAAAAAAGUAAUACAGUAGAAUUAUGAGUACAUGUAAAUUACUUCUUACUGAGGACACAAGUUACUGGAAACUUCUUUUUAAGGGAUAUUAUGCUUUAUCUUGGACAUGUGUAUUGCUUCAAUUAGGUAGUUUGUUCUUUAACUUGGAAGCACGAGAUUUCUCAGCAGUAUUAUUAGAGCUAGCUCUAGUUCUCAGGGCCCUGCUGCGCAGUCAGCAGGAAUAAUUUUACCAUUCUCAUUUAUGAGCCUUUGGAGCCAUAAACACCUCCCAGCUUUUCAUGAGGAGCCCUAUAACUGAAUAAGCAGUAAGUUCAUUAGCAGUCUGGCUGCAGAGAGGGAGCAGGAGAAAGUGUACUACUACAGAAAACCAUAUGCCUUCCAUGUACUAGCUGGUGCAGCCUUCUAAUGAGGACCGACAGCAAAUUCCUGCUUCAACAUCACCAUGUGAAAAAUUCAAAGAAAGUAGGUGGAGAUCAGAUAAGCAGAAUCAAAGUUUUUCUUCCCCUUUAAACAUAUAGAUGUGCAUAUACCUAACCCUUUGUCCCUUAACUGGUUCACACCCAGUUCUUGUUAGCAAUACUUAAAACUACUACAAGAUAAUGCUUCAACUUCUGUAAGAUGUUCCUUUCCGUGUGGAUGGAGAGUGACAUCACAAAUUCCAUGACCACACACAGUUUGUCUUAAAGACUGUUUAACACCAUGGUCACAGUCUCUUUCAUGAUAAAGAAAUGGCAUAACUGUAGUGUAAACAUAACUGGCUGUAGAGCAAUACAUCUUUCAGUCUCUGUUAGAAGAUGAGUGGUUAAACUUUAAAUAAGAUGUGCUCUUCUGCUGGUGUAAUAAAUUGUGUUCCUGCUUCU